RNAcentral lists this unclassified non-coding RNA (355 nucleotides) under uncultured Hydnodontaceae. Its description in RNAcentral is "sequence contains ITS1". The stretch from base 1 to 105 matches the Rfam family "5.8S ribosomal RNA", at positions 50 to 154 of the family's 154-position model. The record is from RNAcentral. Lineage: Eukaryota; Fungi; Basidiomycota; Agaricomycetes; Trechisporales; Hydnodontaceae.
GAAAUGCGAUAAGUAAUGUGAAUUGCAGAAUUCAGUGAAUCAUCGAAUCUUUGAACGCACCUUGCGCCCCUUGGUAUUCCGAGGGGCAUGCCUGUUUGAGUGUCUUGAAAUCAUCAAACCUAACCGGUCUUGUUGCCGGCGCGGUUUGGACUUGGGGGUUCAUUGCUGCCGCUCGCGGUGGCUCCCCUUAAAUGCAUCGGUCGGGCUUUCGUGCGGCUCUGUCCCUUGGCGUUGUAUUACCCUCGUCGCUGGAUGGCUCGCGAUUCUGUGCCCUUCCCUGACUUGCCUCUGGAGUGGCGGUCUUCAACAUUUGUGAUCUGACCUCAAAUCAGGUAGGACUACCCGCUGAACUUAA